This is a small nucleolar RNA of Meriones unguiculatus (Mongolian gerbil), 78 nucleotides long. RefSeq annotates it as small nucleolar RNA SNORD115. The transcript has a single exon. The record is from RefSeq and is a predicted model, not a curated record. Lineage: Eukaryota; Metazoa; Chordata; Mammalia; Rodentia; Muridae.
AGGUCUAUGAUGAUAACUCAAUGUCACAAAGUGAAGUGGUAACAUUAAAGUCAUGUCAAUGUUAUUACACUGAGGUCC